This 253-nucleotide ribosomal RNA is filed under the name uncultured bacterium. Its description in RNAcentral is "partial 16S ribosomal RNA". It matches the Rfam family "Bacterial small subunit ribosomal RNA", at positions 524 to 776 of the family's 1533-position model. The record is from RNAcentral.
UACGUAGGGUGCGAGCGUUAAUCGGAAUUACUGGGCGUAAAGCGUGCGCAGGCGGUUUGUUAAGUCUGAUGUGAAAGCCCCGGGCUCAACCUGGGAACUGCAUUGGAAACUGGCAAGCUCGAGUAUGGCAGAGGGGGGUGGAAUUCCGCGUGUAGCAGUGAAAUGCGUAGAGAUGCGGAGGAACACCGAUGGCGAAGGCAGCCCCCUGGGCCAAUACUGACGCUCAUGCACGAAAGCGUGGGGAGCAAACAGG